Pelobates cultripes (western spadefoot toad) is the source of this 271-nucleotide non-coding RNA. NCBI's taxonomy places the organism in Eukaryota, Metazoa, Chordata, Amphibia, Anura, Pelobatidae. The record is from the annotation of a GenBank genome assembly.
CUGUACUUUGAUUGUACUAGUUCUUGCACACAACUGGGAACCGUCUCUGUGAAACCAAAUUUCAGAAUAUGUAUUGUAGAAAUUGCUGACUGAUUAAUAUUGUCCUUUGAAGAUCAGUUCAUUGCCUGUUUCCUACAAAGUAGGUUUGUGGGUUAUGGUCAUGACCACAGGAUGGUCUGCUGUAAAAUGCCUAAUUUAAUAACCAGUCGCCUCAUGGAUACUACUGUUAUUACAUUCUCCACACUCUUAUUUUGGACUGCUGAGAAACGAG